GACGAACGCUGGCGGCGUGCCUAAUACAUGCAAGUAGAACGCACAGUUUAUACCGUAGCUUGCUACACCAUAAACUGUGAGUUGCGAACGGGUGAGUAACGCGUAGGUAACCUGCCUGGUAGCGGGGGAUAACUAUUGUAAACGAUAGCUAAUACCGCAUAAUCUUGAUUAUUGCAUGAUAAUUGAUUGAAAGAUGCUAUUGCAUCACUACCAGAUGGACCUGCGUUGUAUUAGCUAGUAGGUGAGGUAACGGCUCACCUAGGCGACGAUACAUAGCCGACCUGGGAGGGUGAGCGGCCACACUGGGACUGAGACCAGGCCCAGACUCCUACGGGAGGCAGCAGGAGGGAAACUUCGGCAAUGGACGAAAGUCUGACCGAGCAACGCCGCGGGAGGGAAGAAGGGUUUCGGAUCGGAAAGCUCUGUUUUAAGAGAAGAAAGGGUGUGAGAGUGGAAAGUUCACACUGUGACGGUAUCUUACCAGAAAGGGACGGCUAACUACGUG
RNAcentral lists this ribosomal RNA (505 nucleotides) under uncultured bacterium. Its description in RNAcentral is "partial 16S ribosomal RNA". It matches the Rfam family "Bacterial small subunit ribosomal RNA", at positions 28 to 507 of the family's 1533-position model. The record is from RNAcentral.